CAUAGCUUGACGGAGCGCGAGUAACAACUCGCUGAGAUCGCCUAAAUUCUAUAUGCAAAUAUGGCAUUUGAGGGUGAGUACCGUUGAACCUGAUCAGGUUAAGACCUGCGUAGGAAUCAAGCCAUCAAAAAAC
This 133-nucleotide non-coding RNA is filed under the name Acinetobacter sp. RNAcentral describes it as "TPP sequence". It matches the Rfam family "TPP riboswitch aptamer (THI element)". Rfam says of the family: Vitamin B(1) in its active form thiamin pyrophosphate (TPP) is an essential coenzyme that is synthesised by coupling of pyrimidine and thiazole moieties in bacteria. The previously detected thiamin-regulatory element, thi box was extended, resulting in a new, highly conserved RNA secondary structure, the THI element, which is widely distributed in eubacteria and also occurs in some archaea. The record is from RNAcentral. Lineage: Bacteria; Pseudomonadati; Pseudomonadota; Gammaproteobacteria; Moraxellales; Moraxellaceae.